CCUACGGGAGGCAGCAGUGGGGGAUAUUGCACAAUGGGGGAAACCCUGAUGCAGCGACGCCGCGUGCGGGAAGAAGUAUUUCGGUAUGUAAAGCUCUAUCAGUAGGGAAGAAAAUGACAGUACCUGACCAAGAAGCCCCGGCUAACUACGGGCCAGCAGCCGCGGUACUACGUAGGGGGCAAGCGUUAUCCGGAUUUACUGGGUGUAAAGGGAGCGUAGACGGUUAUGUAAGUCUGGAGUGAAAGGCCGGGGCCCAACCCCGGGACUGCUUUGGAAACUGUGUAACUGGAGUACAGGAAGGGCAGGCGGAAUUCCUGGUGUAGCGGUGAAAUGCGUAGAUAUCAGGAAGAACACCGGCGGCGAAGGCGGCCUGCUGGACUGAAACUGACGUUGAGGCUCGAAAGCGUGGGGAGCGAACAGGAUUAGAUACCCUAGUAGUC
RNAcentral lists this ribosomal RNA (440 nucleotides) under uncultured bacterium. RNAcentral's name for it is "partial 16S ribosomal RNA". It matches the Rfam family "Bacterial small subunit ribosomal RNA", at positions 338 to 795 of the family's 1533-position model. The record is from RNAcentral.